This 497-nucleotide ribosomal RNA is filed under the name uncultured bacterium. RNAcentral describes it as "partial 16S ribosomal RNA". It matches the Rfam family "Bacterial small subunit ribosomal RNA", at positions 28 to 507 of the family's 1533-position model. The record is from RNAcentral.
GAUGAACGCUGGCGGCGUGCCUAAUACAUGCCAGUCGAGCGAACGGACGAGAAGCUUGCUUCUCUGAUGUUAGCGGCGGACGGGUGAGUAACACGUGGAUAACCUACCUAUCAGACUGGGAUAACUUCGGGAAACCGGAGCUAAUACCGGAUGAUAUUUUGAACCGCAUGGUUCAAAAGUGAAAGACGGUCUUGCUGUCACUUAUAGAUGGAUCCGCGCUGCAUUAGCUAGUUGGUAAGGUAACGGCUUACCAAGGCAACGAUGCAUAGCCGACCUGAGAGGGUGAUCGGCCACACUGGAACUGAGACACGGUCCAGACUCCUACGGGAGGCAGCAGUAGGGAAUCUUCCGCAAUGGGCGAAAGCAUGACGGAGCAACGCCGCGUGAGUGAUGAAGGUCUUCGGAUCGUAAAACUCUGUUAUUAGGGAAGAACAUAUGUGUAAGUAACUGUGCACAUCUUGACGGUACCUAAUCAGAAAGCAACGGCUAACUACGUG